Molecule: transfer RNA, 73 nt
Filed under: Marmota monax (woodchuck)
Lineage: Eukaryota; Metazoa; Chordata; Mammalia; Rodentia; Sciuridae
Description: tRNA.Leu
Rfam family: tRNA
About the family: Transfer RNA (tRNA) molecules are approximately 80 nucleotides in length. Their secondary structure includes four short double-helical elements and three loops (D, anti-codon, and T loops).
Source: RNAcentral
UUGGGGAUAUAGCUCAGUGGUAGAGCACUUGUCUCAAAUGUAUGAAACCCUGGGUUCAAUCCCCAGCACCAAA